Molecule: long non-coding RNA, 883 nt
Organism: Sander lucioperca (pikeperch)
Lineage: Eukaryota; Metazoa; Chordata; Actinopteri; Perciformes; Percidae
Exons: 2
Source: RefSeq, a predicted model, not a curated record
CGAAUUAGGCCCACCUCCUUUAAUAAAAGAAAAAGCAUGCGUCAGUAAAAUCUGCAAUCCAUCUGCAAGAAGUUUGACCAGAACUUUGGAAUGCAUCACAUGGCAUUACAAAUCUUGAGGUUAACUGUCUGGACAUAAACUGCUCUUGAUCACAAUAAACCAUAUGUAGGGUGAUUAUAUUUAUUGACGGAUUUUUACUACAGGCUGUGUUAUCCCUUUAAAAAGGAAAGCUGCCAAAAACUCACUUUUGUUCCAGUUGCCCGAAUCUUCUCCAAAUAGUCCCACACUAUCUGUGGACUUAUCCUUCCGCCAACUUGAAUGUUGUCUGGAAGGUCCUAUUGAAGAAAGAAUAAAAAAGAUCAAACCUUUCUGACAGGACUUAGUAUAAAAUACUUUUGCAGCAGCUAUUCAAACUCAAUAUGUUUUGCUGUGUACACUUUACCUCAGUCAAGUUGUCAAAUAAGCCUGAGACGGGGAAGGCUUUUGUCACGAGUUUUGCCACAGCGUGCAUAUGAAUGAAUCCUCGCCACAGGACCGUCAGGUUGGAAAGGAAAGCGGCCUCUUCAUCUCUUCCAGCUAUAUGACCCGACCUGUGUCGAAUAUACCGGCAAUGGAGCAAGCUUGCAAAAGAAAAAAGUUGCACACCAGAACCACGCAGAGAGUCAGAAAUACCUGCUUACCUUCCUUCAUAGCCUUGAGCGUUUCGGAAGCUCUCCUCUAAAACAGUGAGGUGCAGGUCGUCGUCGAUCGCAGGUUUUGUGCUCUUUGUCUCUUCUGCUUUGGUGGACUGCCUCCGGACCACUGUAGUAGCAACUUUGACCACCUUGGUUGGUGCCUCCUCCACAGGGGGUGCCAUACGACCUUAUUGAGAAAAAAAAAAAAA